AUAACUCUUUGUGCAAGGCAGCUGCGGUUUCCUUGGCCUUUGUCCGAUGACCUGUAGAUAACACACAGUCUGUAACUGUUCCAACGAUGCUUUUCCUAACUAACACCUCCAUGUUCGUUUCCACUGUUACAGGCUUCACCUCAGCAGAGGCCAUUUGCAGAAAAGAAAAUCAUUUCUCUGAUGAAGAUGAGGCUUGAAAGUUUUGCCAGGGUAUCAGCUGUAGGAAUGUCGUUUUUAGGGAGUGUCCGCUGUAAAUCAC
Long non-coding RNA from Odocoileus virginianus texanus, 259 nucleotides. RefSeq lists it as uncharacterized. Lineage: Eukaryota; Metazoa; Chordata; Mammalia; Artiodactyla; Cervidae. The record is from RefSeq and is a predicted model, not a curated record.